Long non-coding RNA from Bombyx mori (domestic silkworm), 4793 nucleotides. RefSeq lists it as uncharacterized. Lineage: Eukaryota; Metazoa; Arthropoda; Insecta; Lepidoptera; Bombycidae. The transcript has 2 exons. The record is from RefSeq and is a predicted model, not a curated record.
UUUCUGAAAAAUGGAUGGUCUAAUGUAACUCUAAAAACACAAAGAGUCCAGCAAUUAGUUUAUUCGUAGUCGAUCACCCGAAGAUCGGAAGACAGAAUUUUACAACUUCUACAACAGCCGAAUCUAGGAUUCAUUGUGAAAUAAUUCUGUCACUAUUAUAUCACAACUACCCACUUUCAGACAGAAUUCUGGCAAUACGAUAAUUUAAUAUGUAAAGAUAAGCAUACGAGCACCUUUCCACACACACAUUUACACCUCUUACUUGCGUAAAUAUUCGCAACGAACAACGUGUAUAAAAUAAAUACAUUAAGUUGAAAAUUAUUCAGAACAAAUUAUUGUUUACGGUAUUUUACAUGAUGCAUAGUCUGUCCGACUAUUAAUUAUAUGGGUAUGCGAUUUGAGUUAACAAUUACAUUCAAAUUUACUGCUAUUAUCCGUUAGCAAGCCCUUUUUUUAGGUGAGAGGAAAUAGUCGGACUCCUGCGUUGAGAGGGGGAUGGGAGGCGAUUUGAACAGACUUGAACCUCCUGUCGCGCAAAAACUCGCGUCCGAGCCUUCGAUAAAACAGAACUCAUCAGAGGCAGGCUAGGAGUAGAAGGACGUUCGGCCAUCAGAGCGGAAAAAAAGGCUGGAAGCAAGACCACUCUUUUCACGCAGAGUACAUGUUUCUCCACUACUCUGCUUCUAACGGACACUAAAAGACGGUUGUUGGCGCCACUAAGUCUCUCAGUCGAUGGGCGAUACAAAUCUCGUCACUCACAGACACCCCGGGAUACCUCGAUGGGCAGUGUGGUCAUCCGCCAUCCAGUUGCUCUUUCGUGAGCCGCGUAUCAAACGUCAUCUUCUUGAGUCCCCCUCACAGGUGCCCAGAGCAACAUAUGGACUUAAUAUACUUAAAGGACCAGGAUUGAAACGAGAAACCCAUCCUGGUCCCCAGCUCAUGGCAACAGGUUGGUGCUGAUAGAGAAGAACCUCCUCUCUUACGCAUCACCACCGCCUGAUUAUGCAAUAUUGCAAGAUAACUUGCAAAAAUCAAACAUCGGCGGCAACAACUCGUGGCGUAGUGCAAUCCCAUCAUUGCUUAUAAUUUUAAGAAGAUACAAUGUGUGAUACAAUAUUAUUGGUAUCGGUUGUUAUAUAUAUCGGUAGGGUUACGCGACCCUAAAAAAGUCAAAACUACAUUAAUGUAUGUGAAUAUAGCAGUUAUAAAUCACAAAGAACAAAACAUGCCGGAAAUAAUAUAAUUCACUAAAAGUACUUAAUGGUCAACUGCGAAGAAUUAUCGACGACAAUAAGCCGGAGUAACGGUGUACAGUUACCGUUCGAUAAGACUCGCCGUCGGGCGCGGCUCGUGUCGAAACAAUUCUAUCUUAACCCAGUUACUGCUGUUACGUGAAACUAAGUUCAGAUUUUCACAAGCAUGCUUCUAUAGAAACUGGUGAAGUAACAAUAAAUCGUCUGCUGCAAUAAAUCACUGCCAUCCUCUGGAUUCUCCAAUUAUAUACAAAUACUCUAUUAUUCAACCUUGAAAACAGGUUCUGCGCGACUUGACCGCAAAAACAAAGAGUCUGGAAUGUUAACGAAUUGAAUUUUACAUAAUACCGCCACUUUAUGAAAAUGCUGUCGGUAAUGCGAUAAGGCGUUGGCUGCUUGGCAUCUCCUAAAUGGCUUGAAAUACUAAGGUAUGCAUUCUAAGACAACUCAAGUUUUCAAUCGCCACAAACUUGGUACUACGACAGCAAAGCGCGCCGAAGUGCAGAUAAUCUGGAAAAGUACAGAAGUACUAGUUAUAUAGACGGCAAAAGACGUCGGGAAAGAAGAAGAAAUUGGUCAGACCAAGUGGCCGAAGAACUCAGAAUGCCAAUUGGUCUCGAGCUCUACAGGCCAAACAUCGUAGCAAGAGAAGGAGUUUGCUGUAGCGCUUUGCAUUGCGAAGUCACAAUCCUCUUUAUUGAUGAAACGAUUUGAGGAGGAGGAUUACCAAGAAAUUGCUAAUUAAAUUAUAACCAUGGAUCGCUCGGAUAUUUUUAAGACGUCAGAUAACGACUGUAAUUAAUGUGUUAAUUAAGAUUAAGGCGUAUUUUUUGCACAGACCAAAAUAGAUUCACAAAUUAUUAAAACAAAUUGCGAAAUCCGAAUUGUUUUCAUCAAUAAUCCGAGUAAUUCUAUAUAAAAACUUGUGAAAUUCACACCAAAACUGAACUGCAUUUUCUGAUCUUUUUACUGGAAUAUAAACGCAUGAAAAGAUCCAUUGUUUUAAAUUGUGAAACAAACCCAGUUACGUCUACAUCAUAUCACGGAUACAAAGAAUAUGCAGUAAUUAUAAAUUUCCCACGAGCUUAGUCAAUCACUAAGCUAUCUCGGUUCAAUAUUAAUGAGUUUUUUGCCAAUUCUUAACGCAAUAAUAUUACUCCCUCAUGAUUUACAACUAGGUAUUACUUUGUCUACAAUUUUUCGCGUAAUAAAAUAUCCAAUAAGCACUGAAUUAAAUUUUACUGAUGGCUGAAAUGAAUAUCAAGAUUUAACUUUAGAUCGUUUUCGAAAACGACACAAAAUCUAUUACAUAAAACAAUGCUCAUUAUAUCAUCUAUAUACUUUAGACCUCAAAACAAAAAUGAAUAAAGAUCAAAGAAGAUUUAAGACUUCAAAUUCGGUCCGGGACCUUUGUGCGCUUCUAAAACCUUAAUCUCAAAACUAUUUAAUAACAAGCCCCAGAUAUUAUCUACUGUACGACAUUAUAUACCAAGACAGAUCUAAGAUCAAGGUAGGCAGCGGCUUGGCCCGGUAGGCAGCGGCUUGGCUCUGCCCCUGGCAUUGCUGACGUCCAUGAGUAACGGUAACAACUUACCAUCAAGUGGGCGGUAUACUCGUUUGCCUGCUCGGAAAAUAAAAAAGAAUAAACAAUUGAAACAAUUAAAUUAAAACUCCCAUAAAUGUUUUAUACCAUAGUUUAAUAGUUCUGGGUUAGACCUUAUGAAAACGAAAAUACCCGAAAUACUAAGGUUCGUUUACACCAAAUUAAAUAAAUAAACAAUAAUUAUUUUAUUGAACGUGUCAGUAAUGAAUUAAAAUACUCAAAAAUAUUUAAAAAAAUGUCAUUCGUCUACAAACACACGUUAUGUUCAUUUUAUUCAAGUCUCAAUCCACUUUUGCUUAAAACUCGAAUGAUUUAAAAAAACAAACGACCUGUUUUGAAUCAAUCAAUUAAUUCAUUUCAAACAAUCAAUUAUUAUUUUUUUCCUUUAACUCGCUGUCUAGAAGUGAUCGAUUUAGCAAUAUGACAUAAUAUUUUUACAUUGUUUAAUUUUAUUUUGCAUUACUUGGUGUUGCCCUUUAUAUUUUAUAAUGACGGAGAAAUAAUUAAGUAAAAAAAUAAGUUAUGGAGUAUCUUCGAAAUUAUUCGUCUUGGUGAAAUAUCUUUUUAUAUUCCUGCGUACAAUAAGCCAUAAACAUGUCGUAAUGUUCUAGUUUUAAAAUUUACAACAAAUCAAAAACCUUAAUUCGGCUGUUUCGAUUUGCAAUCUACGCCUUCCGCAUAACAUCAGAGCUUUUUACUCAAUGACACAGAUUAAAUAAUAGUUUUAACUGUUACAAAAUAACGUUGGAUAACCUCUUUUGUUGUAAAUUCUUAAUGUCAUUUCGUGUUUAAUAGUUACUGUGUUUUUACUAUUUAACCGCAUUUAGUCUUUGUCAAUAAAAAAGAUACUAAGUUUUAAAAUAUGUACAUUUCAUUAUUUUUGGCCGCAUUUGCUAUUUUAUAUUCAAAAUUUAAUUUAAAGACAUAUUACUACGAUAAAACCACUAAAAUUUUAAAAUGUGUAAUUUAACUAAAUUAAAAACAAAUAAUUCAGAUCUAAUGUAUAAAAAUCCUUCGUCUUACAACGAACAUUUAAACAGUCGAAAUCUCCAAGCAUAAAUUCCAAGUUUACAGAGGAAUUCUUAGGAGGAGGAUUCACCUUGACGUGUAGGUUAGUUCACGGGACUCAAACCGGAUGUGAUGCUAGCACUGGCCCUAGCAAGAGCAGUGCUUCGCAGAAUCUACCACCGGAUCGGAAACGCGACCCACUGAGAAGAUCCUAGAAUCUAGAAUACUAGAAUCUAGAAUAACCCCGUCGAGGUUACUAGAAUAGGUAGGAAAAAAAUGUAACAUCGCGACCGGUCACCGAAAUACAGAUAGGAUAAAGGUAGGCAGUGGCUUAGCUCUACCGCUGACAUUUCUGACGUCCAUGAGCAACGAUGACCACUAACCAUCAGGUGGGCAGCCGUAUGCUCUGCCUACAAAGGCAAUAAAUAAAAAAAAGGAUAUUUAUUAAGCAUAUCAGGGGUUUUAGACGAAAUUGUUACUGAUUCUAACUAUAAGUGUAUUUUAUUGGGUUAGAGAAUAUUGCUCCACUGGUACCCACGUCUUGCCUAUUCCGAUCGCGAAGAAUCGCGCGUUCCAGUUUGGAAAACCGUUGUAUAAUACAAUUGGCAUUCGACUUAAUACUUCUGAAGGUGAGCGACGACAAUCAAAUCGUGCAGUCUAUGGGCUCCGAUAACUGCUGAACCUCGAUUCUGUCUAACACGAGUGUAAAUAAAUUAGAACAUUUAUAUCUCGAACAGACGACUCCUUAUUACACCACAAAAACACCCGUAAACUACCAAAAGAUAAGCUGUCGGGACUCUCUUGAAUAAUGCUCGAAUUAUUUUACGUAUAAUGGUUUAUAUUUAGGAACAUUUAAAACGGGGUAAUGCUUAAAUCAAUUUGUCAAAAAGUCGUUCUGUCAUAAUAAAAAGUAGAUUUAAAUACAAAAA